AUAUCUACAGAAAAAUAUCAUAGAUGGCGCUGCUUUAAAAUUGUCUUGUCUACUUAUAUUCAUUUAAUUAUGUUUAUCGGCUUAGUUACUUGUAUUGCAUGAUUUUUUAUAGUGUGAAGCUAGCUUAUAUAGCAUGGUUAUUAACAUAAUAACAACAACAACAUUCAAAUAUGCUUCAUUAGAUUACACGUUGUUAUAGAAUGCGUUGAGGAAAUAAAGGUUCACUGCUCGUUCCUGGUAGGUGAUAGCAUGACAAUAUGUAGCCUAUAUGUUGACCCGACUUCUUAAUAAUAUUCGUGCCAAAUUUGAAGUAAAUCCAUGCGGUACUUUUUAAGUUUAUCCCGGACAUACAUACAGACAAACAGACAAAAAUUCUAAAAACUAAGUUUUUGGCUUCGGUAUCGAUUGUAGAUCACACCCCAAGUAUUCUUUUAAAACAAUAUUCAAUGUACAGUUUUGACUUUCCUACCAUUUUAUUAUAUGUAUAGAUUAUAUUUCUCACUCAUCUAGUCGGUUUUAAUACUAAAUUUCUUAAUAUGUAAAAUUAUUAGUUAAAAAUUAUAGGUAAUUAAAUCUAAAUGACAUAUAAAAUAAAAAACCAUAUUUACUAUUCAUUUAAUAUUUACUUUUAUAAUUAUGUUAUUUUCAUUCAUAACUAACAACGAUAUGGGUGUUACGAUGUAUUCAAAUUCAGUAAAACAAAUUAAAACAAAAUACAAAUUUCACUCACUAUUAAAUUUAAUAUUACAGUACUAGCAAUAAGAAAACUCUUUUACUUUAAAUAAUUUAUAUAAGUCAACCUCAUUUCGAAGAAAUGUAUUAAACGGGAAAUUCUCAUUUAGUAUAAGUGCACGCAAAUCGUGAGAGUGAGAAUUCAGUGGGAUUAAGACGUUCCAAUAACAUCGCUUCAAACAUUCAGGUCACUAGUAUGUCUUAACUUUUUACACAGAGGGUCUUUAGAAGCAACGUCGAUUACAAAAUUCAUAUUAGAUAAGACUUAAUAAAAUAUGCGUAUCUAAACUAUCGUAUUACCUUACUGAAUUCAUACGGUCUUCUCUCGUAUAGUAAUACGCCCCAUCUGGCGCACGAAAAGACCGCGAAUAGUAAUACCGAGUGCGUCUCCGCUCUCUACCGAUUAACUUUAUCAGAGUCAUACCAUAAAGAUAAUAAUUAUAAUAUAUUUACACGAAUUAUAAAGGUGUGUCAGCAAAUGAAUAGACGCAGGGACGACAGCUAAGCUCAACUAUGUGAUUUGAAAUCGUGCGCCGAGCGCAAUAUACCUCUUAUACUAAAAAUUUAUAAGUAAUUAGUACAUACAAAUAUGUAAUAAUACGAGCGUAUUUAACAUACGUUACCGGGGCCAUUUUCAUAUUAUUAUUAUUGGAAAUUUUGUAAUAGCUUGGCACGCUAAAGAUGUUUUGUGAUUACGUCAUUUAUCGAUGUAACAGAAUGUGUUAUUAUGACAAAGUCUAAACCAGACAGUUGCAAUCUCGUCUUUUUUCAGCUGCCUAACCCGUGUAGGUGCUCUUUUAGAUUUGGUGGAAAUCAUUUUUCACCGAACAUUAUUUAUUGAUAAUAAUAGCUACUUGAAAAUCAUAAAUAAGAUUUUUUUCUCUAUGUGUAGAGGAUUUUAAUACCUUCCUAAUAACUUGUACGCCGUCUCAAAGUGCAAAAUGAAAUAGAUAAAAUACUUAAAACUAUGACAAUGAUUUUCAUUAUUUUAACAUCUUUUUUUAUAUAUAAAUGACUACUAUUAAUGUGUUCUCAAUGACAUUUUUUUACAUAGCAGAAAUAUUUAUUGAAUAUAUAAUACGAUAUUAUAUUAAAAAAAAAAAAAACUAUGACGUUACAAUAGGACACCGACAGUGCUUAUUUAAUACAUUACAUUUAUUUAGCAUUGGAUAUAUAUGUGAGGUACACUGCAAUAAAAGUACUAAUGUAAAGUUGCCCAAAUAAACAAUUAUUUAUAAUGUAGUAAAUCUAAAAAUUUUUUUAAAUUGUUUAUACAAAUACAUAAUAUUCUGAAAUAGUAUUAAAUAUUAAAAUUAUCUUGAGAGAUCAGUUUACGCUAGUUAUAAAAAUUUACAAGUAUGUUUUUUUUUUAUUUGCAACAAAAUGCUCAUUCUGAUAAGUUCAUCAUAAUUGAAAUAUGCAAUGCAAUACCAGGCGUACGCUGCGUACGCGUAUCGCAAGUCAGGAAUACGCUCCCGUAGUUAAUAUUCUAAUGCGCUACUGAAAGUUUACUACAGAUUACACGGCCCAAGCAAAGUUACGAUCCACGCUAUAUCAUGUGGCUACCUUAAUAGGUGAUUUACGUGAAACGAGUAUGUGACUACUUUUAGUUUAUGAGGUUUAAAAGAAAUUUUAUAUCGCUGACCAUUUGAGAAAGGGACGAAGAAAGUGAAAAUAUUACACGACUUAAUAAACGGUAAUGUACAAAUUACUCGAAUUUCGAAUUGUCGAUAAAUAAUCACAGUUAAAACUCAGCUUCAAGGUAUGUACACGAGGAAGGAAUUUGAGCUUACAAAAGUACAAAGUAAUCACAUUGCGACGGUUUAGACUCUACAGUGGAUUUACCCUUCUCACCGACUACGACAGCUCAAGCUUUAUCGACGAUAACGCUACAGUAUCACACGAUUACUCGCCGAAAACACCUAUUAUGCAUUUAAUUUUCCCGAUGGCCAACACGAAAAGUACUAUCACUAAUUAGCAUACGACCGAGUCUCGGGUCGAGGGCGGGGAGCGGCCGGCAGCCCGGAGCCCGCUGCGAGGCGCGCGGGGCGCCGUCUACGACGCGCCCGGGGAGCCGCCGCUGGGCCCGCUCGCCGCCGUCUCGCCUGCGCAAACAUGCUCUGUACACUUCGGGAACUCAGCGGCGGGACGGAGGUCCGACGAGUCUAGCGCGAGCCACCGUCCCUUUUCGAUUACAACUAAUAUAUCCCGGUUCAAAGAGGUCGGGGCGGCCGAAUAGUCUUUAAACCGAGCGACCCAGAAAAAAUAUGAAAGAAUCGGUGGACAUCGAUGUUAAAACAACUAGGAUCGAUGUUAAAAUUAACUGAGGUAGGGCACAGCAGGAAUUUCUUGCUCAAAAUAUGGAGCAGCCCGACUGGGGUAGUACCUCGAAUUACAGAAGACUACAGCUAAAUAAUACUGUUUUCAAGCAGUAUUGUGUUCCUGUUGAGGGUUUGGGGAUUGUGGGUCGGCAACGCGCUUGCGAUGCUUCUGGUGUUGCAGGCGUCUAUAAGCUACGGUAAUCGCUUACCAUCAGGUGAGCCGUACGCUUCUUUGUCGUCGACCUAGUGACAUAAAAAAAACAUCGAUA
Molecule: unclassified non-coding RNA, 3322 nt
Filed under: Melitaea cinxia (Glanville fritillary)
Lineage: Eukaryota; Metazoa; Arthropoda; Insecta; Lepidoptera; Nymphalidae
Description: misc RNA ENSMCXG00005007967.1
Source: RNAcentral